RNAcentral lists this ribosomal RNA (572 nucleotides) under uncultured bacterium. RNAcentral describes it as "bacterial SSU rRNA". It matches the Rfam family "Bacterial small subunit ribosomal RNA", at positions 337 to 909 of the family's 1533-position model. The record is from RNAcentral.
UCCUACGGGAGGCAGCAGUGAGGAAUAUUGGUCAAUGGGCGCAAGCCUGAACCAGCCAUGCCGCGUGCAGGAUGACUGUUCUAUGAAUUGUAAACUGCUUUUCUACAGGAAGAAACCCCCGAAUGUAUUCGGGUCUGCCGGUACUGUAGGAAUAAGCACCGGCUAACUCCGUGCCAGCAGCCGCGGUAAUACGGAGGGUGCAAGCGUUAUCCGGAUUUAUUGGGUUUAAAGGGUGCGUAGGCGGAAAAUUAAGUCAGUGGUGAAAUCCUGCGGCUCAACCGUAGAACUGCCAUUGAUACUGAUAUUCUUGAAUGUAGUUGAGGUAGGCGGAAUGUGUAAUGUAGCGGUGAAAUGCUUAGAUAUUACACAGAACACCGAUUGCGAAGGCAGCUUACUAAACUAUGAUUGACGCUGAUGCACGAAAGCGUGGGUAGCGAACAGGAUUAGAUACCCUGGUAGUCCACGCUGUAAACGAUGAUCACUCGUUGUUUGCGAUAUAUUGUAAGCGACUGAGCGAAAGCAUUAAGUGAUCCACCUGGGGAGUACGUCGGCAACGAUGAAACUCAAAGGAA